This 253-nucleotide ribosomal RNA is filed under the name uncultured bacterium. RNAcentral's name for it is "partial 16S ribosomal RNA". It matches the Rfam family "Bacterial small subunit ribosomal RNA", at positions 524 to 776 of the family's 1533-position model. The record is from RNAcentral.
UACGGAGGGGACUAGCGUUGUUCGGAAUUACUGGGCGUAAAGCGCACGUAGGCGGCUUUCUAAGUCGGGGGUGAAAUCCUGGAGCUCAACUCCAGAACUGCCUUCGAUACUGGAGAGCUCGAGUCCGGGAGAGGUGAGUGGAACUGCGAGUGUAGAGGUGAAAUUCGUAGAUAUUCGCAAGAACACCAGUGGCGAAGGCGGCUCACUGGCCCGGUACUGACGCUGAGGUGCGAAAGCGUGGGGAGCAAACAGG